CACUCAAUUUCACACAUACAAUCUUCUUCCCCAGUUCGUAUGCAAUCAAUCAAACCCUACACACACACACACACACACACCAACAAUAUGCAUUUGCAAGCACACACUUUCAGCUCUUCUUCUUCUUUUCAUCUCAACAGAAAUCACCUCAACAAUCUCACUCCUUUCAAAACCCUAGCUUCCGCUAACAAACCUCUUUACGGCACCGGAGUUGUUUUCCGGCGAACAGGCUCACGACAGUUUCCGGUGUUGAAGCAAUUGAAUCGUCGUGGUGCUGUAAACUUGUCUUCGGAGGGGCAGAACCCUAGCACAAGUGCGGAGACGAUGAGAAAUGUUGUGGAACACAUAUGCUUGCUUAAAGCAAAGGUGGAUUUAUCUGAUGAAGAUGAAAAGAACAUGCUAGAUUUUCUCUACACCUGCCAAUAUCAAAUGCGUGGCAUUCUUGCAAUCUCGUUAGGGCGUAUAUCGAAUCAAAAUCUUGAAGGUUACACACAUGCAGUCUUCAUGCGUUUACAGAAAAAGGAAGACCUUUCAAAAUUCUAUGAGAACCCGUUCUACUUGGGGGUCUUAAAGGACCAUGUAACGCCUUACUGUCAUGUAUGCCCUGACAUGAAUUCACUUAUUUUGAUUAUGAAUCCGAAGUAGAAGAUGACAUUCUUCCCAUCUUUCGGAAAGGAGAGGAGUUUAACUUUGGUGUGGAAUAUAUACUUCUUAUCGCGUUUAAAGAGAGCUCGUUGGGUGAGGUGGCAGAUGACGUGUUGACAUCUUUUGCAAAAUUACUAAUGGAGUUUCCUUCAUUAAUUGUCCAGUUUACAAAAGGGUCAAAUUUCAAUCCUGACAGCAAAGACUACACUCAUGCUGUAGUGAUUCGAUUUCGAUCGUCUGAUGCGUUUGACAUUUUCAUGGGCAGUUCAGAAUACAAAGAUAUUUGGAGGUCGAAGUUUCAUCCCAUCACCGAGAAGAAACUAUCGAUUAGCUUUUCUGUAGAUCCCGUCGGUAAGGAGUUGAUGUAGCAAGAUUCACUGAUUUUAGGGUUACAUAGCAAGCCAUUCUUGUUCUUGGAUGUUCUGCUUUUUGAGAGAAAAGCCUGCAGCUGAUUUACUAUUUUCUGCAGAUGAUUUAUUUUGUAAUAAUAUAUUAAAUAUUCCAAGUUGUAUCAAUUCAUUACUCGCUUAAAAAAGAGUCCUCUUUACCA
RNA transcript from Helianthus annuus (common sunflower), 1195 nucleotides. RefSeq lists it as uncharacterized. The transcript is spliced from 11 exons. The record is from RefSeq and is a predicted model, not a curated record. NCBI's taxonomy places the organism in Eukaryota, Viridiplantae, Streptophyta, Magnoliopsida, Asterales, Asteraceae.